CAGAAAGCCGCGCCGGCCCCAGUCCCCAUGGGCUGAAGGCAGGUUGAGUUCUUCCCCAGGUCUGCGAGCCUCGAAGGCUUCUUUCAGACAGCAGACCCCUUAGAAGCGCAAGGCUGCUUUCUGACAAAGAAUCAAGUGUUCCUUUCAACCAGCCAAGGGACUGGUUUUCUCGCUGACCCUUUGACAGCUCCAGCCGGUCCCUCCAUUCGAGGUCCCUGACUUCCUGCAACAGACUGAGAUGGCCUUCUGAGCUUUUCCAGGGCUGACGACCACCUUCUUGAUACCUUCCCCUCUCUCGUUCUGAAUCCGUGCCCACCAGAUGGGGCCGUCUAGUUGCAGGAAAACAAGCUCAGGGCUCCCACUGAUUCUACAUGAUGGGAAUCCAGGCUUUCGGAGAUGAGGACUGGGAGGUCUCCAGACCACACAAGCCCCCUAUUUGCACUGGCCUUUGGAAUGAGCCUACAGCCUGCCUCCACUCCUCCUGGUACCCCAGCUGUUCUCAAGGAAUUGGCCAGAAGUCAGACUCCUUUCCCAGCUGUCCUCCACUUCUUUCCUGCCAGGCACCCUAGGCCCCAUGGUGGGAUUGGGCCUAUAGGCUGUGAUUUUCCACAUCCUUGUCAAACCUGUACUACCUGAAUGCCUAGAGGAAAAGAUACUGCCUUAAUUACUAUUAUGAGCACGAAUGCCUUCUUACUCUUGAAUUUAGCUGAGUGCUGCCUGCAGGUAAAGUCACCUGGAGAACCAUCCAGGGACUUUGUCCUCAUAGGAUCACUUGUACCUCUCUAGGGUUGCUGUGGCAGCUGCCAGAGUGGCCCGGGCCAUGGAUGAGGGCCAGGAUAUGGAAAGCAGAGGCAGAAAUGAGCCCAGAGGCCACAGGGCCCAGCUCUCAGGCUCCCACGGUGAAGCCCAGAGGGUUCCUUCUCUCUCCUGCUUCAGGCUGACAAUGUUUGUCAGCCUCUGCUCCCAACCCCUAUACCCAGCAACCUCUGCGCCCAAGCACAUGGUCUGAAGAAUAUUCUGGUGUUGGGCCCCUGUAGGUGGCCUGCCGUGACGGUGGAAGCCUGGAACGUAGUGACAUGGAUUCAUCAUUGGGAUGUUUCAUCCUAAGGAAACGCACUCGCAGGUGGCUGUAGACCUUGGGGACUCCAGCCUCGUUCAUUUAAGCUCCCACAAUGUUCCAGGCCCUAUGCGGCUUGCAAGGGGCAGAGAGACACAGAAUGACAGCCGACAUGGCACUCUAUUGGUGCACUGGCACUGUUUUUUUUUUUGAGAUGGAGUCUUGCUCUGUCACCCAGGCUGGAGU
This 1303-nucleotide long non-coding RNA is filed under the name Homo sapiens (human). RNAcentral's name for it is "HSALNT0378691". The record is from RNAcentral. Lineage: Eukaryota; Metazoa; Chordata; Mammalia; Primates; Hominidae.